UCAACUUCAACAUGGCCGAAGCAAGUAGCGCCAAUCUAGGCAGCGGCUGUGAGGAAAAAAGGCAUGAGGGGUCGUCUUCGGAAUCUGUGCCACCCGGCACUACCAUUUCGAGGGUGAAGCUCCUCGACACCAUGGUGGACACUUUUCUUCAGAAGCUGGUCGCCGCCGGCAGUUUUUUCAGACGGAGUUUCACUCUUGUUGCCCAGACUGGAGUGCAGUGGCGUGAUCUCGGCUCAUGGCAACCUCCACCUCCUGGGUUCAAGCAAUUCUCCUCAGCCUCCUGAGUAGCCGGGAUUAUAGGUGCCGCCACCACGCCCAGCUAAUUUUUGUAUUUUUAGUAGAGAUGGGGUUUCACCAUGUUAGCCAGGCUGAUCUCGAACUCCUAAUGUCAGUCCCUUUUCUAGCUCCUCCGGUCAUGAUACAUCCACACUCCAGACUCUGUGUCUGGCCCUGCAUGGAAGCCAACAUGGCCAGAUGGCCUGGAUUGAGUCCCAGCUGGCUCCAUCACAUGCUGGUUGUGUGACCUUGGGCAAGCUUCUCUCUGCCUCAGCUUCCUCAUCUGAAAAAUGGGGGUGAU
Molecule: long non-coding RNA, 577 nt
Filed under: Homo sapiens (human)
Lineage: Eukaryota; Metazoa; Chordata; Mammalia; Primates; Hominidae
Description: HSALNT0015808
Source: RNAcentral